RNAcentral lists this ribosomal RNA (630 nucleotides) under uncultured bacterium. Its description in RNAcentral is "bacterial SSU rRNA". The stretch from base 1 to 542 matches the Rfam family "Bacterial small subunit ribosomal RNA", at positions 338 to 873 of the family's 1533-position model. The record is from RNAcentral.
CCUACGGGAGGCAGCAGUGGGGAAUUUUGGACAAUGGGCGAAAGCCUGAUCCAGCAAUGCCGCGUGCAGGAAGAAGGCCUUCGGGUUGUAAACUGCUUUUGUACGGAGCGAAAAGGCUCUCUCUAAUACAGGGGGCUCAUGACGGUACCGUAAGAAUAAGCACCGGCUAACUACGUGCCAGCAGCCGCGGUAAUACGUAGGGUGCAAGCGUUAAUCGGAAUUACUGGGCGUAAAGCGUGCGCAGGCGGUUUUGUAAGACAGGCGUGAAAUCCCCGGGCUCAACCUGGGAAUGGCGCUUGUGACUGCAAAGCUGGAGUGCGGCAGAGGGGGAUGGAAUUCCGCGUGUAGCAGUGAAAUGCGUAGAUAUGCGGAGGAACACCGAUGGCGAAGGCAAUCCCCUGGGCCUGCACUGACGCUCAUGCACGAAAGCGUGGGGAGCAAACAGGAUUAGAUACCCUGGUAGUCCACGCCCUAAACGAUGUCAACUGGUUGUUGGGUCUUUACUGACUCAGUAACGAAGCUAACGCGUGAAGUUGACCGCCGNGGAGGUACGGCCGCGAGGUAGUAAACGUUAAGUAGUAGUUAGUACGGCGUGAGACGUAGACCGACGGACGACGACGAGGGAGGAGG